Molecule: long non-coding RNA, 1723 nt
Organism: Prosopis cineraria
Lineage: Eukaryota; Viridiplantae; Streptophyta; Magnoliopsida; Fabales; Fabaceae
Exons: 4
Source: RefSeq, a predicted model, not a curated record
GCUACUUUUUUUCUCUAUAUAACUUCUCAUCUGAAUUGUAACACGAGAUUUACAAAUGUUUUCGGGGAAAACCCAUUUCUGGGAAGGUAUUCUUCGGGAAUACUCAUUUUCGGCAGCUAGGAAAGAAAAUCCAAACACAAAGUAGUUACCGAUCUCUUGCUCAGGUAGCUUAGGAAGCGGAAUAGUUCUUGCCAUGGCUUUUCCUAUUGAAAGUUCUCAGAGAGCAGAUGCUUUUUGGAAGAGAUUUAUGGUUGUUGCAUCCAUGAGAUGAUGAGGAAUGUAGAUGUUCUUGAACAUAUGGGUUUUUGAUCAAGUGAACCUUGUCUUGAUGGCUUUCUUGAUCAGAUUGUUGCAUUAUCAAGGGACGGGAGAAGAAAUGCCUAUUACUCGCGGUAACUCAGGAUUCCAACAUGAGCACCUACCACCGCCACUGCCAAAUGAGGAGGAGCAUGAUUUGGCGAAAUUGAGAAUGCUUGUAAAAACAUUAACAGACAAGGUUCAAGGAUGAACAAGAGUUGACGGAGCUAAAGAGGCAAAAGGUAAUUGAAAAUGGAGAUAGGGCUCAUGUUGAGAGUCAUGUGAGGGAAGGCAGUUCCUCACAUCCUGCCACUCCGAGAGAUCAUAAGUCUAAAAAGGAGGAAACUAGGCAGGAGGAACAGAGAGCCCCACUGACCAUUACUGAUGUGUGGGAAACUGUUAGGAAGUUUAAUCCUCCUAUAUUUGAUGAAGAAUGGGUGAAGAGACUCGAGUCCAUCUUUCGAGUAGUCACGUGCACCAGUAAUCAGAAAGUGCAAGUAGCAUUAGUGCUCCUAGUAAAGGGAGCAAGAGAUUGGUAGGAGACAGUAGGACCCAGGGAUGAUUCUACACUCAUAUGGGAGGAAUUCAAGAAAAAAUUGUUCAGACAUUACUUUCCAUCAGAGUUAAGGUCUGAAAAGGAAGUUGAGUUAUCACGGGAACCUCGAUGAGGACACAUUCAUUGCUAAGUUUCAAGAGUUAUCUAGAUAAUCCAUGUACCUACAGUAUAGGGAUGAUUCUGAAUGGAAGGCCAAGCGCUUAUUGGAGAAGGCUAGACCAGAAUUGAGGGAGCAAUUGGCUCAUCUAGAUAUUCGAGAUUAUGACAAAAUAUGCAUAAAACUACAAGUAGUAGCUCACAGUAAGAAGGAGGUCAAGAGAGAGAAGAGGGGUUAUUCAUAUAGUAGACCCCCAACCUACCCCCGACCCACCGGAGGCAUUACGAAGAAAAACCAUCAGAGUUCGAGCAGCUCAUGGAAUCAAGGAAGGUAGAAGGGUCCAUUUUAAAAGGGCCAAGGAUAGAUGAGCUAUCAUAGUAGUUAUCACGGGUCACAGAGGAGCCCAAUAGUAUCUACCCCUGCCCCGAGUACAGCGAGCUCUCAGCAGUGCACUAAAUGAGGGCGUCGUCUUUUCGGACAGUGCUGGGUCUGUUAUAUUUGUGGGAAACUCGAUCACAUUGCAAAGUUUUAUGGGGACAACCAGGGCUCAAAUAUAAAGAACCCUUCCCAGCAUCCUAUUGUCUCUAGCCAUGUGUUUGCCCUUACUCAGGACACGAUAAACUCCCCAGAUGCCAUUAGAGGACCUAACUCAUUAGAUCCAGUGUGGGGAAACAUUCUGAGGUAUAGGAUUGUGGUGAAAAUACUACUCUCAUGCCUCUUUACUCUAUUUUUGGUGUUAAUGUUGUAUAAUUGCCAAUUAGAAUCACAUGUCA